UACGGAGGAUCCAAGCGUUAUCCGGAUUUAUUGGGUUUAAAGGGUGCGUAGGCGGCCUAUUAAGUCAGGGGGUGAAAGACGGUAGCUUAACUAUCGCAGUGCCCUUGAUACUGAUGGGCUUGAAUAUACUAGAGGUAGGCGGAAUGUGACAAGUAGCGGUGAAAUGCAUAGAUAUGUCACAGAACACCAAUUGCGAAGGCAGCUUACUAUGGUAUUAUUGACGCUGAGGCACGAAAGCGUGGGGAGUCAAACAGG
Molecule: ribosomal RNA, 255 nt
Filed under: uncultured bacterium
Lineage: Bacteria
Description: partial 16S ribosomal RNA
Rfam family: Bacterial small subunit ribosomal RNA
Source: RNAcentral